GAUGAACGCUGACAGAAUGCUUAACACAUGCAAGUCCACUUGAACUUCGGUUUGGGUGGCGGACGGGUGAGUAACGCGUAAAGAACUUGCCUCACAGCUAGGGACAACAUUUGGAAACGAAUGCUAAUACCUGAUAUUAUGAUUAUAUGGCAUCGUAUAAUUAUGAAAGCUAUAUGCGCUGUGAGAGAGCUUUGCGUCCCAUUAGCUAGUUGGAGAGGUAACAGCUCACCAAGGCGAUGAUGGGUAGCCGGCCUGAGGGGGUGAUCGGCCACAAGGGGCUUGGAACACGGCCCUUAUUCUUACGGGAGGAAGAAGUGGGGAAUAUUGGACAAUGGACCGAGCGUCUGAUACAGAAAUCCUGUGUGGAAGAUGAAGUUUUUCGGAAUGUAAAGUGCUUUCAGUUGGGGAGAAAAAAAUGACGGUACCAACAGAAGAAGUGACGGCUAAAUACGUG
RNAcentral lists this ribosomal RNA (454 nucleotides) under uncultured bacterium. RNAcentral's name for it is "partial 16S ribosomal RNA". It matches the Rfam family "Bacterial small subunit ribosomal RNA", at positions 28 to 507 of the family's 1533-position model. The record is from RNAcentral.